RNAcentral lists this long non-coding RNA (963 nucleotides) under Olea europaea (common olive). Its description in RNAcentral is "long non-coding RNA (OEUR_LNC002742)". Lineage: Eukaryota; Viridiplantae; Streptophyta; Magnoliopsida; Lamiales; Oleaceae. The record is from RNAcentral.
CAGAGAUGAACGUCCAAGUUUCAUUCCUUUUGAAACUAGAACUGCUCCUAGAGGAUUGUCGGCAUCUGUGGUCAUCACUGCUUAUCAAAGGGCCUCCCAACGGACAUGUGCAUAAGCUUGCUCAAGUGAGGGAAAUGGUUUCAUCUGUAAAAUACUUGCCCUGAUGUUAUCGAGCCUAUCAUCAAGGCCAUCCAAAAAGGUAUAAACUCGAUCCUCUUGCACCAAUUUAUUGUAAUUGUGGAUGUCUUUGGAGCAAACCAUUGGAUUGGGACAGCGAUAAUUGAUUUCACGCCACAACCGUUGUAAAGCCGUGUAGUAUUUCUCAAUGGAGCUGCCUGUUUGUCUCAACCGUGCCACUCUUCGCCGAAGUUCAUAUACUUGUGAAGUGUCAUUCCCAUCAAAAAAGGUAGUUGCAAUUGCAUCUCAAACUUCAUGUGCAGUGGAGAACCGGAUGAAGUUGCCAAUGAGAGAGUGGUCCAAUGAGUUUAAGAUCCAGCCUUUGACAAUGGCGUUUUCCAUGCGCCACCUACGAAAGGUUGGAUCGGUCAGUGGUGGAGUAGGCAUAUCUCCAUUCAGGUAGCCAAGUUUAUCUUUUCCAGCAAUAUUCAUCUCUAUAACCUAAGACCAUAGGGCGUAGUUGGAACCGUCCAAUUUGAUGCCGAUUUGAGGUGAAGAUUUAGUAGUUGAGGUUGGUGUCUAUGCUUUGUUCAAAGCUUCAGUCAUCUUUGUUGUAAAUUCUAGGAAGAGAGUGUUGGUUUCGGGUGGUAGGUGGCUGGGACUCUCAAAAUCAUUAGUGGCUUCCAUGUGUUUGAAUAAAUGCUCAAGAAAGCACGGCUAGAACAAAACAGAGGCUGCUGGAUUUAGUACCAUGCUCUGAUACCAUGAAGGAUUAUAUUCUUUUCUUCAUUGAUUUACAAUAAUUAUGGUACAGUUAAAAUAGGAGAGAAUUUAAAUCUAUUUUGG